RNAcentral lists this unclassified non-coding RNA (974 nucleotides) under uncultured fungus. Its description in RNAcentral is "sequence contains 18S rRNA gene, ITS1, 5.8S rRNA gene, ITS2, 28S rRNA gene". Lineage: Eukaryota; Fungi. The record is from RNAcentral.
GCAGCAACCUCGAGCUCAACAACGACGGCACGGCCAGCGACCGCCCGCUCAACGUGCCGCGCAAUUCGCUCCAGCUGCCGUCGCGCAAGAACGUCGACUUCCGUUACUCGCGGCGGUUCCACAUCCAGGGCACCAUGGCCGCGGAAGUGAUCGCCGAGCUCAAGAACGUGUUCAACACCGAGCAGGUCUCGAGCGUGACGUCGACGGUGACCACCAAUGCGCAGGGCGUGCCGACAGCGCCGCUGCCGACGUCGGGCAGCCAGCUGACGCCGACCGGCGGCUACGAGCAGCGUCAGUUCCAGCUCGGAUUCAAAUUCGUGUUUUAGACAGGUUGGCAGGUUGUCAGGUUGACAGGUUGGUCAGCCUGACUGCCUGACCGCCUGACUGCCUGAGUUUCAUCAUGCGUAAAGUUGUUUUCUUUCUCGCCGUCCUCAUUGCCGCCGCGUCCGCUCAUUCAACCGCGCAACAUCAGCUGGUUCCCGUGGCCGCGCUCAAGGGCGAGCCGGCGCUCGAGCUCGCCAUGCGCAAGCUCGACACCGUCGGCAAUUUCAUGAUGACGACGGCGCAUCCAGACGACGAGAACAACGCGAUGCUGGCGUACUUCUCGCACGGGAAGGGGUACCGCACGUCGCUCGUCACGGCGACGCAUGGCGAAGGCGGGCAGAACGAGAUUGGCCCCGAGCUGUUCGUGCCGCUCGCGGUGCUGCGCACCGAGGAAUUGCUGGCCGCGCACCGUUUCGACGGCGCGGAUCAAUACUUCGCGCGCGCGAUUGAUUUUGGCUUCUCGUUCAGCGUCGAAGAGACGUUCGAGAAGUGGGGCCACGACGAGAUCCUCGGCGACUUCGUUCGCCACAUCCGCACCAUUCGCCCGGACGUGAUCGUCGGCUUCGUGUUCGACGGCGAUGGCGGCGGCCAGCAUCACCAGGCCUCGACGCGGCUGGCGCUCGAGGCGUUUCGCGCCGCGGCUGAUCCAG